AUUCAGGGAAACCUAGGGAAAAUCCGUUGGUCUUUGCAGGACCGUGAGGGUUCAAGUCCCUCUAUCCCC
This 69-nucleotide transfer RNA is filed under the name Anemia adiantifolia. Its description in RNAcentral is "partial tRNA-Leu". Lineage: Eukaryota; Viridiplantae; Streptophyta; Polypodiopsida; Schizaeales; Anemiaceae. The record is from RNAcentral.